Molecule: transfer RNA, 83 nt
Filed under: Pontibacter amylolyticus
Lineage: Bacteria; Pseudomonadati; Bacteroidota; Cytophagia; Cytophagales; Hymenobacteraceae
Also listed under: 1 other name
Description: tRNA-Leu
Rfam family: tRNA
About the family: Transfer RNA (tRNA) molecules are approximately 80 nucleotides in length. Their secondary structure includes four short double-helical elements and three loops (D, anti-codon, and T loops).
Source: RNAcentral
GCGCACGUGGCGAAAUUGGUAGACGUGCAGGUCUCAGAAGCCUGUGCCUUCGGGUGUGGGAGUUCGAGUCUCCCCGUGCGCAC